This 452-nucleotide ribosomal RNA is filed under the name uncultured bacterium. Its description in RNAcentral is "partial 16S ribosomal RNA". It matches the Rfam family "Bacterial small subunit ribosomal RNA", at positions 28 to 523 of the family's 1533-position model. The record is from RNAcentral.
AGCGAACGCUGGCGGCAGGCUUAACACAUGCAAGUCGAGCGGGCAUCUUCGGGUGUCAGCGGCGGACGGGUGAGUAACGCGUGGGAACGUGCCCUCUGGUUCGGAAUAACUCAGGGAAACUUGAGCUAAUACCGGAUACGCCCUUUUUGGGGAAAGGCUUGCUGCCGGAGGAUCGGCCCGCGGCUGAUUAGCUCGUUGGUGGGGUAACGGCCUACCAAGGCGACGAUAAGUAGCUGGUCUGAGAGGAUGAUCAGCCACACUGGGACGGAGACACGGCCCAGCCUCCUACGGGAGGGAGCAGUGGGGAAUAUUGGACAAUGGGGGCAACCCUGAUCCAGCCAUGCCGCGUGAGUGAUGAAGGCCUUAGGGUUGUAAAGCUCUUUUAUCCGGGACGAUAAUGACGGUACCGGAGGAAUAAGCCCCGGCUAACUUCGUGCCAGCCGCCGCGGUAA